Molecule: ribosomal RNA, 497 nt
Filed under: uncultured bacterium
Lineage: Bacteria
Description: partial 16S ribosomal RNA
Rfam family: Bacterial small subunit ribosomal RNA
Source: RNAcentral
GAUGAACGCUGGCGGCGUGCCUAAUACAUGCAAGUCGAGCGAACGGACGAGAAGCUUGCUUCUCUGAUGUUAGCGGCGGACGGGUGAGUAACACGUGGAUAACCUACCUAUAAGACUGGGAUAACUUCGGGAAACCGGAGCUAAUACCGGAUAAUAUUUUGAACCGCAUGGUUCAAAAGUGAAAGACGGUCUUGCUGUCACUUAUAGAUGGAUCCGCGCUGCAUUAGCUAGUUGGUAAGGUAACGGCUUACCAAGGCAACGAUGCAUAGCCGACCUGAGAGGGGGAUCGGCCACACUGGAGCUGAGACACGGUACAGACUCCUACGGGAGGCAGCAGUAGGGAAUCUUCCGCAAUGGGCGAAAGCCUGACGGAGCAACGCCGCGUGGGUGAUGAAGGUCUUCGGAUCGUAAAACGCUGUUAUUAGGGAAGAACAUAUGUGUAAGUAACUGUGCACAUCUUGACGGUACCUAAUCAGAAAGCCACGGCUAACUACGUG